RNAcentral lists this ribosomal RNA (396 nucleotides) under uncultured bacterium. RNAcentral's name for it is "partial 16S ribosomal RNA". It matches the Rfam family "Bacterial small subunit ribosomal RNA", at positions 523 to 918 of the family's 1533-position model. The record is from RNAcentral.
AUACGUAGGUGACAAGCGUUAUCCGGAUUUACUGGGCGUAAAGGGUGCGUAGGCGGGUAGACAAGUCAGGUGUGAAAACCAUCGGCUCAACCGGUGAACUGCACUUGAAACUGUAAAUCUUGAGUGAAGUAGAGGCAAGCGGAAUUCCGAGUGUAGCGGUGAAAUGCGUAGAUAUUCGGAGGAACACCAGUGGCGAAGGCGGCUUGCUGGGCUUUAACUGACGCUGAGGCACGAAAGCGUGGGGAACAAACAGGAUUAGAUACCCUGGUAGUCCACGCUGUAAACGAUGAAUGCUAGGUGUGGGGGGACUGACCCCUUCCGUGCCGGAGUAAACACAAUAAGCAUUCCACCUGGGGAGUACGACCGCAAGGUUGAAACUCAAAGGAAUUGACGGGG